ACAGCUCAGUUGGUUAGAGCAUCAUGCUGAUAACACCAAAGUCACAGGUUCAAUCCCUGUAAGAGACA
RNAcentral lists this transfer RNA (68 nucleotides) under Podarcis lilfordi (Lilford's wall lizard). Its description in RNAcentral is "tRNA.Undet". The stretch from base 3 to 60 matches the Rfam family "tRNA", at positions 9 to 63 of the family's 71-position model. Rfam says of the family: Transfer RNA (tRNA) molecules are approximately 80 nucleotides in length. The record is from RNAcentral. Lineage: Eukaryota; Metazoa; Chordata; Lepidosauria; Squamata; Lacertidae.